AUGUUCCAGAAGGAAGGGACCUGCACAGUCGCACUGCAGAGUGGUGACAGGAAGCCCAGCCCCCCUUGGUCCUGCCAGAACUCUGACCAGAGCAAGCUGAGUGCCCUGGGAAGAUCCUCUUCCCACAGAAGAGGAACGGAGGCCCUGGCCUCAGCCCAGCCCACAGCGAGCCAGGACCCAGUGGCCUGGGGCAUGGGUGGCAGGCUCGGAGACGGAGAGCUUACUGCGUCAGCGCAUCCUUGCCCCCUGAGUCCUUUCAGGGGCGUCUCCUUAGCUGAGUUGUCCAGCGGGAGGCUGGCAGGGCAGACCAAGAGGCUGCGAGGAUGGAGCCCGGCUGGGGCAUGGAGAUCAAAGCCACCGCUCGCUCAGCUUGGAGUUUGUUCCAGUCACUGGGUUCACAAGCCCCCCCUGUGUGCCAGCUCAUAAAACCGGCAGCAGAUGACAUGUCAGCAGGUGAACACAUACACACACACAUACGCACGCACGUCAGAAACUCCACCCAGGCCAGGAUGGUGUUCAGAUCCGAUGUCUUAACUGAGAACCAGGUGAGCUGGGCUCUAGUGCUGAAUCUCUCUGGCCGCCUGGAUGGUAGUUUGUGCUAAUAACCCUCCAAGGUCCUUUUCAAUUCAAACAUCCUGUGAUUCUGAAGAAAAGUGAAUCAAGAGGGCUUCGGCAUGUACACAUGGCCACUUUGGCCUCCACAGGUUAAGGGGUCUGAAUUGCGGCAGAGCCCUUAUGCACUUUUCCCCACUUAGUGACCUUAAUCCCUGGUGCUCUCUUUUCAUUCAAGUUGCUGAUUGUGGCUCCAUCUCUUUGCGUGUCCCUUUCACAACCCCUCCCUCCUCAGAGCCACCUGCGUGCUCAUACCAUGGGGUCAUCAUGUAGGACCUGCUGACCAUCUGCUCUCUUGUAGCUGGUCCCACCUUCCCGGAUAGGCACGUGCACAUUAUUUGACACGUUUCUGCAGGACAUGUUUUACAUGCUUGCGUGAGUGCGUGUGUGCAUGUGUACUAAGUCUCUUCAGUCAUGUCUGACUCUUUGCAAUCCUAUGGACAGUACCCCGCCAGGCCUCUCUGUCCAUGGGGAUUCUCCAGGCAAGAAUACUGGAGUGGGUUGCAUGCCGUCUUCCAGGGAUCAAACCCAGGUCUCCUGCAUUGACAGGCAGAUCCUUUACCACUAGCACCACCCAGGAAGCCUGUGUCAUACAUUAACUAAAUCAGUAUGUCACAGCAUGUUUCACAACAGUCGUUCAUGUGUGCACAUGUGCACAUGUCCCGGAUGCUGAAGCUGAAACUCCAAUACUUUGGCCACCUGCUGCGAAGAACUGACUCAUUGGAAAAGACCCUGAUGCUGGGAAAGAUUUAGGGCAGGAGGAGAAGGGGACGGCAGAGGAUGAAGUGGUUGGGUGGCAUCACUGACUCAAUGGACAUGAUUUUGAGCUAGCUCCAGGAGUUGAUGAUGAACAGGGAGGCCUGGCGUGCUGCAGUCCAUGGGGUAGCAAAGAGUCGGACGCAACUGAGUGACUGGACUGAACUGAACUGAUAUGUCUGUUUCCUGGCUUCCUUGAAAUUGUAGAUUUAAAAAUUCACAGGCAUUGAUCCUCCUGGACUCUCACCCCUUUGCAGAAGGUGCCCAAAAAGCAUAGGUGGCGACAUGGACAUAAGCCUGCUCUCCUCUCCUUUCUAUUUCCCUCCAGCAUGGGUCAGUUAUCUUCCUUCCUGCCCACCUCUGCAGGAAGAUUGUUCAGUCUUGAAAGUUCUCACCUGAUUUGCAACCUCCUCCUGCCCCUCAGUGAUUCUGAAUGUCUUGUUUCCUAAACCACCCAUCCAGGAAGUGGGUGCUAGUUUGGGGAGAAGUAGGUUCUAGCUCUCAUGGUUUGUAAGAGGUCUGGAGCUUUAGAGGGAGCCCUGCAGAGCUCUGACCCAAACCCAGCUCUCUCUGGAGGUCUCUGCAGGCUGGAGUCAGGACUCAUAGUCCCAAUGUGGCUCCUCUGGAAACUGAGAAGGAUGCAGAAGUGUGUCCAGAGCCUUCCUGGGGCAAUGCCUCUGGUCCUGCUGGCCUGGUUUCCUGGAGCCUUUUUUUCCUCCCUCUCUUCUUAUCCAGACCCCAAGGCCUCUUCCCUCCACAGCCAGAACCCUCUGCUCUGUCAUCUCCCUCUAUCUGUUCUCACCCACCUUACCUGAUCAGGGGUACGCUGCCUGCAGACCCGGAAGUCACCCAGGAACGAAGCCACUGAAGUGUGUGCCUCUCGCAAAGGACCUUCCAAAUGUGCCCGAGAACGCCUGGCUUCUGGAAGAGAAGCUGAUGUGUAAUCAGAACAGCUGUGCUCCAGCUUCUGUUCGACCAGAAAUCACGGUGGGACCUCGGCCAAGUCACUUAACCUUCUUAGUGUCCUGAUCUGCAAAACUAAGCACUUGAGUUUUUAAGAUCUCCUGUUCCUUUCAACCCUCUCUGCUACCCCAGGAAACCCCUCUCAACUUCCACAUGCAGAGAGAAUAGAAGUCAGAAGGGACCCCUUUUCAGAAAAGGCUCUUGUGUCUCAGGUGAGAUCUGACUCUGAAUCCCAGGGCCAGAUGCUCCACUGAGCAGAGAGCAGAGAGGAGAGGGAGGCAGAACAUGGGGACACAUGGCUUCUGAUCACCCUUAGCCUGAUCUGUGGCAGGAUUCUGUGGUCUUGAGUGGGGAGAAGGUGAAGCUCUCCCAACUCCAGGACUCCCAGGGCUGUGGACAGCCAGAGGUGGGGCUGGGGGCCAGGUGUAUGGUUCUUCUGACCUCUCUGCUCUGAGCAGAGUCCCAGAGAUGCUGGGCUCGGGGUGUAUGGGAAAAGGAGCCACGAAACCAAUAAGUUUCGAGGAAACAGCUCUUGUUUGGGGCCCAAAAGGUGGUAUCUAGCCAAUAUCUCUGAUCAGAUCAUUGCUAUUAAAAACCCAAGCCCAUGAGUGAUUGAGAUUGACACAUACACAUUGAGUGAGUGAGUGAAGUCGCUCAGUCAUGUCCAACUCUUUGUCACCCCAUGGACUGUAGCCUACCAGGCUCCUCCAUCCAUGGGAUUUUCCAGGCAAGAGUACUAGAGUGGGUUGCCAUUUCCUUCUCCAGGAGAUCUUCACGACGCAGGGAUUGAACCCAGGUCUCCCGCACUGUAGGCAGACGCUUUACCAUGUGAGCCACCAGGAAAGUUGCUACUACGUAUAAAAUAGAUAAUGAAUAAGAACCUACUGUAUAGCACAGGGAAUUCUACUCAAUACUCUGUAAUGACCUACGUGGAAAAGAAGCUAAAAAACAGUGGAUAUAUAUAUAUCUAUGGGCUUCCCAGGUGGUUCAGUGGGCAAAGAAUCUGCCUUCAAUGCAGGAGCCACAAGAGUCGCAAGUUGGAUCCCUGGGUUGGGAAGAUCCUCUGGGGAAGGGCAUGGCGACACACUCCAGUAUUCUUGCCUGGAAAAUCCCAUGGACAGAGGAGCCUGGCAGGGUGCAGUCCAUGGGGUCGCCGAGUUGUACACGACAAGCGACGGAGCACACACACACACGUAUAGCCGAUUCACUUUGCUGUACAACAGAAACAAACACAACACUGUAAAUCAACUAUAUUUCAAUAAAAAUUGUUUAAAAAGACAAUAAAAACCCAAGCCUAAAGCAAAACCCUUUCCUUUACCAGAAACAGUAGCCUUUUCCCGCAGUCCUUCAGGGGCACAUUUUAUUGGCAAAUCUUCCCCCAACUUGUCCCCACCUGCACUUUUUGGUCUCUUUCUCUCCCCACCCAAAAGCAAACCCAGGGAAACAGCAAAUACGGUGAUGAUAAGAACUCUAGAUUCUAUUUGUUUAGCGUGAUCACGCACCCAAACACCCUACCACCUGUAUCUUUUUCACUUUCAUGAAAGUGAAGUUGUUCCAUCAUGUCCAACUCUUUGCAACCCCAUGGACUGUGGCCCACCAGGUUCCUCCAUCCAUGGAAUUUUCUAGGCAAGAGGAUUGGCGUGGGUUGCCAUUUCCUUUUCCAUCUGUCAGAAAAACCAAGCAAAAUGCCAGACUGGUUGUAAAAGUAGGGACCGCAGUUGAAGACGGGGGAGGAACAGUGGGAGCAGGCGGGCACUCUGUUGUCUGAGUCGGGACAGGUAUGGAGGGAGGGCCCUGGGGACCAGUGGCUGAAGACCCCACCCAAAAGGCAGGCCUGACCUGGGGGGAGGGAGCCCUGGGCCUCCUCUUCACCCCUUGAUGGAGAGGCAGUCAGGAGACGGGGUGGGGCUCCCCUUAGGGACUGCAGGGCAGCACCUGGCAGGGGCACUAGGAACUGGGCAGAUUCUAAGGCAAAUACUUGAGUGACCCAGGGAGGGGGGUAGGGGCAGGGCGCAGUGGGAGGCUAAGAGAAAGAGGGAGAGGCCAGACCAGGGGCCCGGAGGUAGCCAGCGGCUACUAUGGAUGGAUGGAAGCCAAACCAUGCCUUGUCUAGACAGACGGCUCUUGAGCAAUUCUGACCCUCCAUAGGCAGGUCCCCUGGUCAGGCCACAGCAAUAAGAAGAACUAGAAAACAGAGAAAAUGACUCUCACCACCUCACCUUCCUCCAUUCCCCUGCCCAAAUGCCUAGGCUUCAAGGACCCAGUGGCCUGAGUGGGUAGAGCCCCACUGGCCCCGCCCUAGAGGGUGGCCAUGGGCUCUGCAUCAGCGCAUGUGAGAAAGGAUCCAGACUGGUGGACUACAGUCCACGGCGUGGCAAAGAGUCAAAGACGACAAGUGACGAGGCACGCACACACACAUACGUAGAACUGAUUCACUUCGCUGCUCAGCAGAAACUAACACAACAUUGUAAAUCAACUGUAUUCCAAUAACAGUUUUUAAAAAAGAGCAGUAGAAAACCCAAGCCUAAAGCCAAACCCUUUCCUUUACUGAAAAUGGUAGCCUUCCCAGCAGUCCUUCAGGGGCACAUUUUAUUGGCAAUCUCCUCCCAGUUUGGCGUCCGCUAGAGGCCCUGGCAGAGUAUCCAGUGAGCUCCUGAUACAAUCAGUUCACAGGCCAGGGGGCAUCAGUCUAGCAUCAGCAGGCUGCCCUGGGGGCAGUUCUCAGGCCACUGGUUCCCUCCCUGGCUCCUCCCCACUUCUCUAGGACAGGCUGAUUUCCAGCUCCAAGAGCUAAAUCUGAUGCGUCCCCAAGCUACAGGAAAAAGUCCAGAAACCAGCAGGCAGUC
This is a long non-coding RNA of Bos grunniens (domestic yak), 5177 nucleotides long. Lineage: Eukaryota; Metazoa; Chordata; Mammalia; Artiodactyla; Bovidae. The record is from Ensembl.